This 488-nucleotide ribosomal RNA is filed under the name uncultured bacterium. RNAcentral describes it as "bacterial SSU rRNA". It matches the Rfam family "Bacterial small subunit ribosomal RNA", at positions 28 to 507 of the family's 1533-position model. The record is from RNAcentral.
GAUGAACGCUAGCGACAGGCUUAACACAUGCAAGGUCGAGGGGCAGCGAGGGCGUAGCAAUACGCCUGUCGGCGACCGGCGCACUGGUGAGUAACACGUAUGCGACCUGCCCCCUACAGGGGUAUAACCCGUAGAAAUGCGGACUAAUCCCCCAUAGUCCUGGGUGCUGCAUGGCAUUCAGGGGAAAGGCCAGCCGGUAGGGGAUGGGCAUGCGGCGCAUUAGCUAGUUGGCGGGGCAACGGCCCACCAAGGCGACGAUGCGUAGGGGUUCUGAGAGGAAGGUCCCCCACACUGGUACUGAGACACGGACCAGACUCCUACGGGAGGCAGCAGUGAGGAAUAUUGGUCAAUGGGCGCAGGCCUGAACCAGCCAAGUCGCGUGAGGGAAGACGGUCCUACGGAUUGUAAACCUCUUUUGUCGGGGAGUAACGUGCGGGACGGGUCCCGUAUUGAGAGUACCCGAAGAAAAAGCAUCGGCUAACUCCGUG